This 397-nucleotide ribosomal RNA is filed under the name uncultured bacterium. Its description in RNAcentral is "partial 16S ribosomal RNA". It matches the Rfam family "Bacterial small subunit ribosomal RNA", at positions 523 to 918 of the family's 1533-position model. The record is from RNAcentral.
AUACGUAGGGGGCGAGCGUUGUCCGGAAUGAUUGGGCGUAAAGGGCGCGUAGGCGGCCCGGUAAGUCUGGAGUGAAAGUCCUGCUUUUAAGGUGGGAAUUGCUUUGGAUACUGUCGGGCUUGAGUGCAGGAGAGGUAAGUGGAAUUCCCAGUGUAGCGGUGAAAUGCGUAGAGAUUGGGAGGAACACCAGUGGCGAAGGCGACUUACUGGGCUGUAACUGACGCUGAGGCGCGAAAGUGUGGGGAGCAAACAGGAUUAGAUACCCUGGUAGUCCACACUGUAAACGAUGAAUGCUAGGUGUAGGGGGUAUCGACCCCUUCUGUGCCGCAGUUAACACAAUAAGCAUUCCGCCUGGGGAGUACGGCCGCAAGGUUGAAACUUAAAGGAAUUGACGGGG